UUGGAGGGCAAGUCUGGUGCCAGCAGCCGCGGUAAUUCCAGCUCCAAUAGCGUAUAUUAAAGUUGUUGCAGUUAAAAAGCUCGUAGUUGAACUUCGGGGUUUACCCAUUGGUCAGGCUUAAUUGUCUGCACUGGUGAGAUGAAUCUCUACCUUCUGAGGAACUUUCAUGCCAUUUAUUUGGUGUGAUGGGAAAUCAGGACUGUUACUUUGAAAAAAUUAGAGUGUUUAAAGCAGGCUAACGUCUGAAUACAUUAGCAUGGAAUAAUGAAAUAGGACGGACUGAUUCUAUUUCGUUGGUUUCUAGGAUCACCGUAAUGAUUAAUAGGGAUAGUUGGGGGCAUUAGUAUUCAAUUGUCAGAGGUGAAAUUCUUGGAUUUAUUGAAGACUAACUACUGCGAAAGCAUUUGCCAAGGAUGUUUUCAUUAAUCAAGAACGAAAGUUAGGGGAUCGAAGACGAUCAGAUACCGUCGUAGUCUUAACCAUAAACUAUGCCGACUAGGGAUCGGACGAAGUUAAUUUUAUAAUGACGCGUUCGGCACCUUACGGGAAACCAAAG
This 556-nucleotide ribosomal RNA is filed under the name uncultured Glomus. RNAcentral's name for it is "SSU rRNA". It matches the Rfam family "Eukaryotic small subunit ribosomal RNA", at positions 548 to 1103 of the family's 1831-position model. Lineage: Eukaryota; Fungi; Glomeromycota; Glomeromycetes; Glomerales; Glomeraceae. The record is from RNAcentral.